AAUUAAUAUUAAUCAAUAUAACAAAAAAUAUUUUAACCAUAUGGUCCUUUCGUACUAAUAUGGAUUAACAAUCUAAGGAUAGAAACCGACCUGGCUCACGCCGGUCUGAACUCAGAUCAUGUAAGAAUUUAAAGGUCGAACAGACCUAAUCAUUGGGCUCCUGCACCCAAAAUUUUUCUUAAUCCAACAUCGAGGUCGCAAUCUGCUUUGUCGAUAUGAGCUCUCAAAAACAAUUACGCUGUUAUCCCUAAGGUAACUUAAUCUUAUGAUCAUAAAUUAUGGAUCAAAAUAACAAACAUAAAUAAAUGAUAUAAUAAUGAAGAGUUUAUCUAUUCUUCAUGUCACCCCAACAAAACAUCAUCAUUAAAUAUAGAAAGACAAACAAAAAACUAUAUAAAAGUAAAAUGUCAAGCUCUAUAGGGUCUUCUCGUCCUAAAGAAGAAUUUAAGCCUUUUGACUCAAAAGUUAAAUUCAAAAAUUUAUUAAGAGACAGUUGAUUUCUCGUCAAGCCAUUCAUUCCAGCCACUAAUUAAGAGACUAAUGAUUAUGCUACCUUUGCACGGUCAAAAUACCGCGGCUCUUUAAAAAUACGCUCAGUGAGCAGGCCAGACCUCAAAAUAUAAACAAGAGGACAUGUUUUUGAUAAACAGGCGGAAAUCAAUUUUGCCUAGUUCCUUAUAAUAAGUUCACAGGGUAAAAAUUUCAUACAAAUAAAUAUACUAAUUCUAUCAUUAUUACAAAAAUUUUAAAAUUAAAUUAAUAAUCUUAAUAAAAAA
Long non-coding RNA from Schistocerca gregaria, 776 nucleotides. RefSeq lists it as uncharacterized. Lineage: Eukaryota; Metazoa; Arthropoda; Insecta; Orthoptera; Acrididae. The transcript is spliced from 2 exons. The record is from RefSeq and is a predicted model, not a curated record.